UACGUAGGGGGCAAGCGUUAUCCGGAUUUACUGGGCGUAAAGCGUCCGUAGGUGGUUUGUUAAGUCAGGGGUGAAAUCCCAGGGCCCAACCCUGGAACUGCCUUUGAUACUGGCAAGCUGGAGCGUGAUAGAGGAAGAUGGAACAUCUGGUGUAGGGGUGAAAUCCGUAGAUAUCAGAUAGAACACCAAUGGCGAAGGCAGUCUUCUGGAUCAUUGCUGACACUGAGGGACGAAAGCGUGGGUAGCAAACAGA
RNAcentral lists this ribosomal RNA (253 nucleotides) under uncultured bacterium. Its description in RNAcentral is "partial 16S ribosomal RNA". It matches the Rfam family "Bacterial small subunit ribosomal RNA", at positions 524 to 776 of the family's 1533-position model. The record is from RNAcentral.